UGGAAAAAUAAUGAGCACUGUUUGCACAUGAGUCAUGGGUCAUGAUCACACGUCUGGGUGUCUGAGUUCAGU
This is a small nucleolar RNA of Psammomys obesus (fat sand rat), 72 nucleotides long. RefSeq annotates it as small nucleolar RNA SNORD113/SNORD114 family. NCBI's taxonomy places the organism in Eukaryota, Metazoa, Chordata, Mammalia, Rodentia, Muridae. The record is from RefSeq and is a predicted model, not a curated record. The transcript has a single exon.